CUGGCUCAGGAUGAACGCUAGCUACAGGCUUAACACAUGCAAGGUCGAGGGGCAGCAUGAUCUUAGCUUGCUAAGAUUGAUGGCGACCGGCGCACGGGUGAGUAACGCGUAUCCAACCUUCCCUAUAGUAGGGGAUAGCCCGUAGAAAUGCGGAUUAAUACCCUAUGUUGUAUUUCGAUGACAUCUGACGAAUACCAAAGGUUCACCGCUAUAGGAUGGGGAUGCGUCUGAUUAGGUAGUCGGCGGGGUAACGGCCCACCGAGCCAACGAUCAGUAGGGGUUCUGAGAGGAAGGUCCCCCACAUUGGAACUGAGACACGGUCCAAACUCCUACGGGAGGCAGCAGUGAGGAAUAUUGGUCAAUGGGCGAGAGCCUGAACCAGCCAAGUAGCGUGCCAGGAUGACGGCCCUAUGGGUUGUAAACUGCUUUUAUGCGGGGAUAAAGUGAGGGACGUGUCCCUUAUUGUAGGUACCGCAUGAAUAAGGACCGGCUAAUUCCGUGCCAGCCGCAGC
This 512-nucleotide ribosomal RNA is filed under the name uncultured bacterium. RNAcentral describes it as "bacterial SSU rRNA". It matches the Rfam family "Bacterial small subunit ribosomal RNA", at positions 19 to 518 of the family's 1533-position model. The record is from RNAcentral.